ACAAAAACAAACAAAAA
RNAcentral lists this small RNA (17 nucleotides) under Arabidopsis thaliana (thale cress). RNAcentral's name for it is "ATSL116130". Lineage: Eukaryota; Viridiplantae; Streptophyta; Magnoliopsida; Brassicales; Brassicaceae. The record is from RNAcentral.